GGGCGGAUGGUGCAAUUGGCAGACACGCGAGGCUUAGGACCUCGUGGCAGCAAUGCCUUGGAGGUUCAACUCCUCUUCCGCCCACUA
This 87-nucleotide transfer RNA is filed under the name Omnitrophica WOR_2 bacterium RIFCSPHIGHO2_02_FULL_45_21. Its description in RNAcentral is "tRNA-Leu". It matches the Rfam family "tRNA". Rfam says of the family: Transfer RNA (tRNA) molecules are approximately 80 nucleotides in length. Their secondary structure includes four short double-helical elements and three loops (D, anti-codon, and T loops). The record is from RNAcentral. Lineage: Bacteria; Pseudomonadati; Candidatus Omnitrophota.